This 507-nucleotide unclassified non-coding RNA is filed under the name Acrostalagmus luteoalbus. RNAcentral describes it as "sequence contains 18S rRNA gene, ITS1, 5.8S rRNA gene, ITS2". The stretch from base 172 to 325 matches the Rfam family "5.8S ribosomal RNA". The record is from RNAcentral. Lineage: Eukaryota; Fungi; Ascomycota; Sordariomycetes; Glomerellales; Plectosphaerellaceae.
CGUUGGUGAACCAGCGGAGGGAUCAUUACCGAGUCUUUACAACUCAUAACCCUUUGUGAACCAUUAUACCUAGUUGCUUCGGCGGCGCGCCUCCGGGCGUGCCCGCCGGCCAAUUAUAGUCUCUUAGUUGUGAAUCGACGUUACAUCUGAGUGUUCUAAGCGAACUGUUAAAACUUUCAACAACGGAUCUCUUGGCUCCAGCAUCGAUGAAGAACGCAGCGAAACGCGAUAUGUAGUGUGAAUUGCAGAAUUCAGUGAAUCAUCGAAUCUUUGAACGCACAUUGCGCCUUCCAGUAUCCUGGGAGGCAUGCCUGUCCGAGCGUCGUUUCAACCCUCGAGCCCCCGUGGCCCGGUGUUGGGGACGCUGCCCAGCUACCUGGGCAGCCCCCCUAAAUGCUUCCCCGGUCCUUUUAACCCCACCAAUAAGUGAUGCUGGCCUGGGCACGCUCUGUACGGCUGUGCGGAGCACCUACCGAAAAACCCUACAAAGACCGCCCCGGCGGCAAC